RNAcentral lists this ribosomal RNA (1462 nucleotides) under Morganella morganii. Its description in RNAcentral is "partial 23S ribosomal RNA". It matches the Rfam family "Bacterial large subunit ribosomal RNA", at positions 1404 to 2844 of the family's 2925-position model. Lineage: Bacteria; Pseudomonadati; Pseudomonadota; Gammaproteobacteria; Enterobacterales; Morganellaceae. The record is from RNAcentral.
GAAAAGCGUAGUCGAUGGGCAACGGGUUAAUAUUCCCGUACUGGUGGUAACUGCGAAGGGGGGACGGAGAAAGCUAAAUCAUCCGGGCGACGGUUGUCCCGGUUUAAGCGUGCAGGUGGACUGACCAGGCAAAUCCGGUCGGUUGUUAACACUGAGGCGUGACGACGAGCCACCACGGUGGUGAAGUGAUUGAUGCUCUGCUUCCGGGAAAAGCCUCUAAGCUCCAGGUUACCAUUAAUCGUACCCCAAACCGACACAGGUGGUCAGGUAGAGAAUACUCAGGCGCUUGAGAGAACUCGGGUGAAGGAACUAGGCAAAAUGGUGCCGUAACUUCGGGAGAAGGCACGCUGGCAUUAGGUGAAGUGGUUUACCCAUGGAGCUGAAGCCAGCCGCAGAUACCAGCUGGCUGCAACUGUUUAUUAAAAACACAGCACUGUGCAAACACGAAAGUGGACGUAUACGGUGUGACGCCUGCCCGGUGCCGGAAGGUUAAUUGAUGAGGUUAGCGUAAGCGAAGCUUCUGAUCGAAGCCCCGGUAAACGGCGGCCGUAACUAUAACGGUCCUAAGGUAGCGAAAUUCCUUGUCGGGUAAGUUCCGACCUGCACGAAUGGCGUAAUGAUGGCCAGGCUGUCUCCACCCGAGACUCAGUGAAAUUGAACUCGCUGUGAAGAUGCAGUGUACCCGCGGCAAGACGGAAAGACCCCGUGAACCUUUACUAUAGCUUGACACUGAACAUUGAGCCUUGAUGUGUAGGAUAGGUGGGAGGCAACGAAGUGUGGACGCCAGUCUGCACGGAGCCAUCCUUGAAAUACCACCCUUUAACGUUUGAUGUUCUAACCCGGGUCCAUAAUCUGGAUCGGGGACCGUGUCUGGUGGGUAGUUUGACUGGGGCGGUCUCCUCCCAAAGAGUAACGGAGGAGCACGAAGGUUGGCUAAGCAUGGUCGGACAUCAUGCGGUUAGUGCAAAGGCAUAAGCCAGCUUGACUGCGAGAGUGACGGCUCGAGCAGGUACGAAAGUAGGUCUUAGUGAUCCGGUGGUUCUGAAUGGAAGGGCCAUCGCUCAACGGAUAAAAGGUACUCCGGGGAUAACAGGCUGAUACCGCCCAAGAGUUCAUAUCGACGGCGGUGUUUGGCACCUCGAUGUCGGCUCAUCACAUCCUGGGGCUGAAGUAGGUCCCAAGGGUAUGGCUGUUCGCCAUUUAAAGUGGUACGCGAGCUGGGUUUAGAACGUCGUGAGACAGUUCGGUCCCUAUCUGCCGUGGGCGCUGGAAGAUUGAGAGGGGUUGCUCCUAGUACGAGAGGACCGGAGUGAACGCACCACUGGUGUACGGGUUGUGAUGCCAAUUGCAUUGCCCGGUAGCUAAGUGCGGAAGAGAUAACCGCUGAAAGCAUCUAAGCGGGAAACUUGCCUCGAGAUGAGUCUUCCCUGAUUCUUUAAGAAUCCUGAAGGAACGUUUGAGA